UACGUAGGGGGCAAGCGUUGUCCGGAAUCAUUGGGCGUAAAGCGCGUGUAGGCGGCCCGGAAAGUCUGUUGUGAAAGUCCAGGGCUCAACCCUGGAAAGCCGAUGGAUACUGCCUGGCUAGAGUUCGGAAGAGGCGAGUGGAAUUCCUGGUGUAGCGGUGGAAUGCGCAGAUAUCAGGAGGAACACCUAUAGCGAAGGCAGCUCGCUGGGACGACACUGACGUUGAGACACGAAAGCGUGGGGAGCGAACAGG
RNAcentral lists this ribosomal RNA (253 nucleotides) under uncultured bacterium. RNAcentral's name for it is "partial 16S ribosomal RNA". It matches the Rfam family "Bacterial small subunit ribosomal RNA", at positions 524 to 776 of the family's 1533-position model. The record is from RNAcentral.